CCUACGGGUGGCAGCAGUGAGGAAUAUUGGUCAAUGGGCGGACGCCUGAACCAGCCAAGUAGCGUGCGGGCUGAAGGCCCUACGGGUCGUAACCCGCUUUUGCACGGGGAUAACACCCUCCACUUGUGGAGGUCUGCAGGUACCUUGCGACUAAGGGCCGGCUAAUUCCGUGCCAGCAGCCGCGUUAAUACGGAAGGCCCGAGCGUUAUCCGGAUUCAUUGGGCUUAACGGGAGCGUAGGCGGGCGUUCAAGUCAGCUGUAAAAUCGCGCGGCUCAACCGGCCCCCGCAGUUGAAACUGGACGCAUUGAGUUCACAACAGGCAGGCGGAAUUCGUGGUGUAGCGGUGAAAUGCGUAGAUAUCACGAGGAACCCCGAUUGCGAAGGCAGCCUGCCGGGGUGCGACUGACGCUGAGGCUCGAAGGUGCGGGUAUCAAACAGGAUUAGAUACCCCAGUAGUC
Molecule: ribosomal RNA, 459 nt
Filed under: uncultured bacterium
Lineage: Bacteria
Description: partial 16S ribosomal RNA
Rfam family: Bacterial small subunit ribosomal RNA
Source: RNAcentral